Molecule: ribosomal RNA, 253 nt
Filed under: uncultured bacterium
Lineage: Bacteria
Description: partial 16S ribosomal RNA
Rfam family: Bacterial small subunit ribosomal RNA
Source: RNAcentral
UACGUAGGUGGCAAGCGUUGUCCGGAAUUACUGGGUGUAAAGGGCGUGUAGGCGGGAGUGUAAGUCAGUUGUGAAAGCCCAUGGCUUAACUGUGGGACUGCAUCUGAAACUAUGCUUCUUGAGUGCUGGAGAGGAAAGCGGAAUUCCUAGUGUAGCGGUGAAAUGCGUAGAGAUUAGGAGGAACACCAGUGGCGAAGGCGGCUUUCUGGACAGUAACUGACGCUGAGGCGCGAAAGCGUGGGGAGCAAACAGG